ACGCACGCUGGCGGCGUGCUUAACCCAUGCCAGUCGAACGGAAAGGCCCUGCUUUUGUGGGGUGCUCGAGUGGCGAACGGGUGAGUAACACGUGAGUAACCUGCCCUUGACUUUGGGAUAACUUCAGGAAACUGGGGCUAAUACCGGAUAGGAGCUCCUGCUGCAUGGUGGGGGUUGGAAAGUUUCGGCGGUUGGGGAUGGACUCGCGGCUUAUCAGCUUGUUGGUGGGGUAGUGGCUUACCAAGGCUUUGACGGGUAGCCGGCCUGAGAGGGUGACCGGCCACAUUGGGACUGAGAUACGGCCCAGACUCCUACGGGAGGCAGCAGUGGGGAAUAUUGCACAAUGGGCGGAAGCCUGAUGCGGCAACGCCGCGUGCGGGAUGACGGCCUUCGGGUUGUAAACCGCUUUCGCCUGUGACGAAGCGUGAGUGACGGUAAUGGGUAAAGAAGCACCGGCUAACUACGUG
Molecule: ribosomal RNA, 467 nt
Filed under: uncultured bacterium
Lineage: Bacteria
Description: partial 16S ribosomal RNA
Rfam family: Bacterial small subunit ribosomal RNA
Source: RNAcentral